UCCAGACUCCUACGGGAGGCAGCAGUGGGGAAUAUUGCACAAUGGGGGAAACCCUGAUGCAGCGACGCCGCGUGAGUGAAGAAGUAUUUCGGUAUGUAAAGCUCUCUCAGCAGGGAAGAUAAUGACGGUACCUGACUAAGAAGCCCCGGCUAACUACGUGCCAGCAGCCGCGGUAAUACGUAGGGGGCAAGCGUUAUCCGGAUUUACUGGGUGUAAAGGGUGCGCAGGUGGCAGGGCAAGUCAGAUGUGAAAGCCCGGGGCUCAACCCCGGUAUUGCAUUUGAAACUGUCCGGCUAGAGUGCAGGAGAGGUAAGCGGAAUUCCUAGUGUAGCGGUGAAAUGCGUAGAUAUUAGGAGGAACACCAGUGGCGAAGGCGGCUUACUGGACUGUAACUGACACUGAGGCACGAAAGCGUGGGGAGCAAACAGGAUUAGAUACCCGCGUA
RNAcentral lists this ribosomal RNA (445 nucleotides) under uncultured bacterium. Its description in RNAcentral is "bacterial SSU rRNA". It matches the Rfam family "Bacterial small subunit ribosomal RNA", at positions 330 to 792 of the family's 1533-position model. The record is from RNAcentral.